AAAUCGAACGCGGCACGAUGGAAAACCUGCUGGCGAUGCCGAUCACUCCGGUUGAGGUGAUGCUCGGCAAGAUCAUUCCCUAUGUGCUGGUUGGUUUUCUCCAAGCCACCAUCAUCAUCGGUAUCGGCCACUUCCUGUUCCAUGUGCCGAUCCUCGGCAGCCUGUCGGUGUUGGCCGCCCUUUCGACACUGUUCAUCGCGGCCAAUCUGUCGAUCGGCUACACGUUCUCGACCAUUGCGCAGAACCAGCUCCAGGCGAUGCAGAUGUCGAUGAUGUUCUUCCUGCCGAACAUUCUCCUGUCCGGAUUCAUGUNNNNCGCGGGCAUGCCGGUCUGGGCGCAAUGGAUCGGUGAGGCGCUCCCGCUAACCCACUACAUC
RNAcentral lists this unclassified non-coding RNA (377 nucleotides) under Hevea brasiliensis (rubber tree). The record is from RNAcentral. Lineage: Eukaryota; Viridiplantae; Streptophyta; Magnoliopsida; Malpighiales; Euphorbiaceae.